GUUUGGAUUUAGUUUAGGUUCAAAAGAGCACGCACAGAUCCUGAGUGUUGUCAAGCACCCGUGACUGGGAAACGGAGGCGUCCGAUCCGUAUUGGAGUCAAUUCGCCACUUAAUUGAACACAGCCUCGAAGGGAAGGGCCAUAUUUGUGGGCCUGUCUAACAAUUAAGAGUGACCACAUGGAAUGGGGGAUGAAAGGGUUAAAGAAGAACAAAUAUUGAACACAGCUUUUCUAUGAACAAACUGCAGGCAGCUGCUGCUUUGCAAGAAAAACCCUUUGAAAAGAUUCAGCACGUUGCCAUGGAGAACAUCCCACUGAAGGAAUGUAUAGAAGUAGCAGGUGUCAGCUGCCUACCAGUUGCUUUCAUCUCUAGAAAUCUGUGACUUGCAGUAUGACAAGAACAAAAGGUGACAAUACAAAGGACAAAGGGCAAGGAAUACAGACGGAGAAGCCGCUUAGAGUCUAGGAUGGCAGAGGUUCUCUUGAUCAUUUCAUUUUUGAGCGCUUGUAGAGCUUUGGUGUACCAGAGGUGCUUGAACAGCUUACCACACCACAGAUGAAUGGCCUUUGGAUUUCUCCUAAGAAAAUGGGUUGAACCGAACUGGCGAUGCACUGUCUGGAUUGGAUGCAUGUCUUCGUCAUUCUGGAUCCACAUCCUUCAAAUGUUGCCCACCGUGUGAUAGAGAGAAACACACCAAGGAAUUUCUGGUGGUAUUCCACUUCCAAGGAUCCUCGAGGUUUCUGCUGGAUGGAGCCACUGCUGCUGACUUUGGUGUUUGCUAUUGGACUGGACUGCUGAUAUCCUGACAACAAAGAUUGGAACUACCCCUAAAAACUACUUCUAAGACUGAAAGGUAUGAAGAUCUGUGGCAAGAGGCAUGUCAGAGAAUAAGCCGAAGAAUUCUGUUAUUUUAUAGCAUUAGAUCUUCUUUCCUGUCAAAUCUGUCACUUGUGCCCUGACUCUGGCUGGGAUGAAGAGAACAAGAUGGAAAUAAAGAUAUGGAAUGCAGUGUACACUAUGUGUUUCUGCACUAACUUCCUGAAUGACUUCCUGGAUUGUGUUGCUGGAGAUGGCUCUCUGUGGACUCCUGUAUCAAUGUUUCCCUGGCAUGGGGGCAGAGCAGUCUCAGUGGUAUGUUUCUAGCUGCUGUCCCAGCCUAAAGGAUUUAAUUAUGCGUGAAGAGUU
RNAcentral lists this long non-coding RNA (1185 nucleotides) under Mus musculus (house mouse). RNAcentral describes it as "predicted gene 14461". The record is from RNAcentral. Lineage: Eukaryota; Metazoa; Chordata; Mammalia; Rodentia; Muridae.